CGAGCGAAGUCUUCGGACUUAGCGGCGGACGGGUGAGUAACGCGUGGGAACAUACCCUUUGGUACGGAAUAGCCUCGGGAAACUGGGAGUAAUACCAUAUACGCCCUUCGGGGGAAAGAUUUAUCGGAGAAGGAUUGGCCCGCGUUUGAUUAGAUAGUUGGUGGGGUAAUGGCCUACCAAGCCGACGAUCCAUAGCUGGUUUGAGAGGAUGACCAGCCACACUGGGACUGAGACACGGCCCAGACUCC
Molecule: ribosomal RNA, 248 nt
Filed under: uncultured bacterium
Lineage: Bacteria
Description: partial 16S ribosomal RNA
Rfam family: Bacterial small subunit ribosomal RNA
Source: RNAcentral